GACGAACGCUGGCGGCGUGCCUAAUACAUGCAAGUAGAACGCACAGUUUAUACCGUAGCUUGCUACACCAUAAACUGUGAGUUGCGAACGGGUGAGUAACGCGUAGGUAACCUGCCUGGUAGCGGGGGAUAACUAUUGGAAACGAUAGCUAAUACCGCAUAAUAUUGAUUAUUGCAUGAUAAUUGAUUGAAAGAUUCUAUUGCAUCACUACCAGAUGGACCUGCGGUGUAUUAGCUAGUAGGUGAGGUAACGGCUCACCUAGGCGAAGAUACAUAGCCGACCUGAGAGGGUGGUCGGCCACACUGGGAAUGAGACAAGGCCCAGACUCCUACGGGAGGCAGCAGGAGGGAAUCUUCGGCAAUGGACGAAAGUCUGACCGAGCAACGCCGCGGGAGUGAAGAAGGGUUUCGGAUCGGAAAGCUCUGUUGUAAGAGAAGAACGGGUGGGAGAGUGGAAAGUGCACACUGUGACGGUAUCUUACCAGAAAGGGACGGCUAACUACGUG
Molecule: ribosomal RNA, 505 nt
Filed under: uncultured bacterium
Lineage: Bacteria
Description: partial 16S ribosomal RNA
Rfam family: Bacterial small subunit ribosomal RNA
Source: RNAcentral